RNAcentral lists this ribosomal RNA (253 nucleotides) under uncultured bacterium. RNAcentral describes it as "partial 16S ribosomal RNA". It matches the Rfam family "Bacterial small subunit ribosomal RNA", at positions 524 to 776 of the family's 1533-position model. The record is from RNAcentral.
UACGUAGGGUGCAAGCGUUAAUCGGAAUUACUGGGCGUAAAGCGUGCGCAGGCGGUUGUGCAAGACAGAUGUGAAAUCCCCGGGCUUAACCUGGGAACUGCAUUUGUGACUGCACAGCUGGAGUGCGGCAGAGGGGGAUGGAAUUCCGCGUGUAGCAGUGAAAUGCGUAGAUAUGCGGAGGAACACCGAUGGCGAAGGCAAUCCCCUGGGCCUGCACUGACGCUCAUGCACGAAAGCGUGGGGAGCGAACAGG